Anoplopoma fimbria (sablefish) is the source of this 6569-nucleotide RNA transcript. It is a transcript of the gene named ATPase sarcoplasmic/endoplasmic reticulum Ca2+ transporting 2b, with no coding region annotated. The transcript is spliced from 24 exons. The record is from RefSeq and is a predicted model, not a curated record. Lineage: Eukaryota; Metazoa; Chordata; Actinopteri; Perciformes; Anoplopomatidae.
GACACUGAACACCGCAUUCGACAAACGCGAGAGCUGCAGCGGACAAACGCGAUUGGUGCCGACGAGAACGACGAGGACGCUGAGGACGCUGGUGAUUCCGCAACACAGAGCAGAGCGGCGACGGCAGCCUUACCGCAACACAUGUUUUAAGCCAUUUAUUUGGACAGAAUCAUCCUGCAAUUCGCUGUUUUUGAGAGAAGAGGAAGAUAUUGCAAAGUCGACUUGAGGCUGCGUUGGUGUGAGUCACUCGUACGUAUAGUCUUAGAGGGAAACUAGCAGAGCGCACCCGGCGAAUUCAAGCGGUGGAGCCAAACAGUUAGCUAGCGUUAGCCUGUUAGCUUACCCGAUAGCACCGGAGCCGCUCUGACCGGUCACCUGCGCACCUCACUGCCCAGAGGUAGCAGUCAACGCAGCGGGGUCCCGGUCUGAUACUUUAAUUUAUUUAGGUUUGAGUCAUCAGAAAGAGGAGGAGGGAGAGAGAGAACCGCGACAGGUUGAGUCGGGACCAGCGGGGCGAAACAAGCGGUGUCCUCAAGUGUCCGUUCAGCCAUGGACAACGGACACACGAAGACCGUGGAGGAAGUUUACAGCUUCUUCAACGUGAACGAGAGCACCGGGCUGAGCUUAGAGCAAGUGAAGAAGCAACGGGAGCGAUAUGGACCCAACGAAUUGCCAGCUGAGGAGGGUAAAUCCCUUUGGGAACUCGUGGUUGAACAGUUUGAAGAUUUGCUUGUGAGGAUCCUUUUACUUGCUGCCUGCAUAUCCUUUGUGCUGGCCUGGUUUGAAGAGGGAGAAGAAACCAUUACAGCCUUUGUGGAGCCUUUUGUUAUCCUGCUUAUUCUCAUAGCAAAUGCCAUCGUAGGAGUCUGGCAGGAACGAAAUGCAGAAAAUGCCAUUGAAGCGCUCAAGGAGUAUGAGCCAGAGAUGGGGAAGGUGUACCGCCAGGACAGGAAAAGUGUUCAGAGAAUCAAGGCCAGGGACAUUGUGCCUGGGGACAUCGUGGAGGUUGCAGUCGGUGAUAAAGUGCCUGCAGACAUCAGGCUGUCAUCGAUCAAGUCAACAACACUGAGGGUAGACCAGUCAAUUCUCACAGGAGAGUCUGUGUCUGUGAUCAAACACACUGACCCUGUGCCUGAUCCACGUGCUGUCAACCAGGACAAGAAAAACAUGCUUUUUUCUGGCACCAACAUUGCAGCUGGUAAGGCUGUCGGUGUGGUAGUGGCCACAGCUGGCAGCACAGAGAUUGGCAAAAUCCGAGAUGAGAUGGCCUCAACGGAGCAGGAACGCACACCACUGCAGCAAAAGCUGGAUGAGUUCGGACAGCAGCUGUCCAAGGUUAUUACACUGAUCUGCAUUGCUGUGUGGAUCAUCAAUAUUGGACAUUUCAACGAUCCUGUCCACGGAGGCUCCUGGAUCCGAGGUGCUGUCUACUACUUCAAGAUUGCUGUGGCUCUGGCAGUUGCUGCUAUCCCUGAGGGUCUGCCUGCUGUCAUCACUACUUGCCUGGCUCUAGGAACACGGCGCAUGGCCAAGAAGAAUGCCAUUGUCCGCAGUUUGCCGUCUGUGGAGACCCUCGGCUGUACAUCUGUCAUCUGCUCUGACAAGACCGGCACGCUGACCACCAAUCAGAUGUCUGUGUGCAGGAUGUUCAUCAUCGAUCAGGCAGAGGGCAAUCAUUGUUCAUUAAAGGACUUCACUAUUACUGGCUCCACAUAUGCGCCGGAAGGAGAAGUGUUCCAAGAUGGCAAACCGGUCAAAUGUUCCCAGUAUGAUGGUUUGGUGGAGCUGGCCUCUAUCUGUGCUCUCUGUAAUGAUUCCUCAUUGGACUAUAAUGAGACCAAAGGUGUGUAUGAGAAGGUGGGUGAGGCCACUGAGACUGCUCUGACAUGCCUGGUGGAGAAGAUGAACGUGUUUGAUACAGAUGUCAAAGGCCUGUCCAAGAUUGAGCGAGCCAACGCCUGUAAUUCUGUGAUCAAGCAGCUGAUGAAGAAAGAGUUUACUUUGGAAUUUUCAAGAGACAGGAAGUCCAUGUCUGUGUACUGCACUGCUAAUAAGGCCCGGUCCUCUGUUGGCAAGAUGUUCGUAAAGGGUGCCCCUGAGGGAGUGAUUGACAGGUGCACACACAUCCGUGUAGGCAGUAACAAGGUGCCCAUGAGCCCUGGCAUCAAGGAGAAGCUAAUGUCUGUGAUCAGGGAAUAUGGAACAGGCAGGGACACGCUGCGCUGCCUGGCUCUCGCCACCCGAGACCAUCGCAUGGUCAAAGAGGAGCUUAAGUUGGAGGACUGCACCCGCUUUGUUGAAUAUGAGACUGACCUGACAUUUGUUGGCUGUGUGGGCAUGCUGGAUCCUCCCAGGGCAGAGGUGGCAGCCUCUAUCAGACUCUGCCGCCUUGCGGGCAUCCGAGUAAUCAUGAUCACUGGAGACAACAAGGGGACGGCAGUGGCCAUCUGCAGACGUAUCGGUAUUUUCGGAGAGGACGAUGAUGUUUCCAGCAUGGCGUUCACUGGCAGGGAGUUUGAUGAUCUGUCACCUGCUGCACAAAGAGACGCUGUGGUCAAGGCCCGCUGCUACGCCCGCGUUGAGCCUUCACACAAAUCCAAGAUUGUUGAGUAUCUGCAGUCCUAUGAUGAGAUUACAGCAAUGACUGGUGAUGGAGUCAACGACGCUCCUGCUCUAAAGAAGGCUGAAAUUGGUAUUGCCAUGGGCUCAGGCACAGCUGUGGCCAAGACCGCCUCUGAGAUGGUGCUGGCUGAUGACAACUUCUCCACCAUCGUAGCUGCUGUCGAGGAAGGCAGAGCCAUUUACAACAACAUGAAACAGUUCAUCAGAUACCUCAUCUCUUCCAAUGUGGGCGAAGUUGUCUGCAUCUUCCUGACCGCGGCUCUGGGGUUCCCUGAAGCCCUCAUCCCCGUUCAGCUGCUCUGGGUCAACCUGGUGACCGACGGUCUGCCUGCCACCGCUUUAGGGUUCAACCCUCCAGACUUGGACAUCAUGAGCAAGCCACCACGUAACGCCCGCGAGCCCCUCAUCUCUGGAUGGCUCUUCUUCAGAUACCUAGCCAUUGGAUGUUAUGUGGGUGCUGCCACUGUUGGUGCUGCUGCCUGGUGGUUUGUUGCUGCUGAGGAUGGUCCAAGGAUCACGUUUUACCAGCUGAGCCACUUCCUGCAGUGUGGCCCAGAUAACCCAGAGUUCCUGGAUCUGGACUGUAAGGUGUUUGAGUCCCCUUACCCGAUGACCAUGGCCCUGUCUGUGCUGGUCACCAUUGAGAUGUGCAAUGCCCUAAACAGUGUGUCAGAGAACCAGUCCCUGCUGAGGAUGCCUCCCUGGGAGAACGUGUGGCUGCUGGGCGCCAUCUGCCUCUCCAUGUCCCUUCACUUCCUCAUCCUCUACGUGGAGCCUCUCCCAAUCAUCUUCCAGAUCACCCCACUGAAUCUGACACAGUGGCUGAUGGUGCUCAAGAUGUCACUGCCUGUCAUUCUACUUGACGAGUUCCUAAAGUUUGCUGCCAGGAACUACCUGGAGCCCGGUAAAGAACUGGAGAAGCCCGACAGCAGCAAAGGCUGCUGCCUGUCUGCAUGUAUGGAGGGCAUCUCCUGGCCCUUCGUGGCCUUCUCUCUCCCCUUGGUCCUCUGGAUCUACAGCACCGACACUAACAUGGCCGACAUGUUCUGGUCCUGACUGACUUGAGCACAACCUCAACUUUUUGUUCCAUUUCCUCCCCGCCCCCCCACCACCGCCAUCACCUCCCUCUGUCCUCUCCCUCUCUUCCCUCUCUGCCUUCCUACAUGUGCAUAGCUUGCGUGCGUGCGUGUUUGUAGAGUUAGUGUGUGUACUUGUGCGUGCCUACCGUGUGUGUACGAGAAGGACCAACUUUAACACAUGAAUCGUAACAAAUUAUAUGAAAUGUCAACGUUGAGAAGUUACCUGUUUUGAGUUGGGAUAGGAUUUUUUGAAUGGGUGAGGCUUUAAAUGAGAGUGAUAGAAGACCAUCACUCCUGUAGCUGUGGACUUUGUUGCUGGUUUCGAAAGAAAAUAUACUGUUGCCAGUUUUUUUUUUAUUACUUUGUUAAAAUUGCCUUUUAAGGUUUAUAUAUUUUAAUGAUUUUGAGAAUAUCAGUUGUCUUAAGUCACUACAGUAACGACACCAAAUACUUUUGUUUAGCUUCCAUUCUCGUGAAAAGAUCAUUAAGAUGUCAGAAACCCAUCGAUCUGUACAGAGAUAGAAUUUUAUGCAACUUUUUUUAAUGGCUUCGUCAAUUGUUUGACCAGUGUGGCUACAACAUACCGCCUUCAUUUAUUUUUUUUCUCAUGUUUACCAUUGUGUCUUCAGUAUAAACUCAGAACUUUUUCAGAGAGGACAAGCUCCGUGUGGCAGACGAGGACGGGGAAAGGUUUGGGAGUGAACGUUUGAAUGCUCCGCUAAAAAAACCAAAACAAAACAAAAAAUCUGAAAACAAAAGCCGCAUGUCCUGUGACCAAGCAUGAACUGUAUGUGGAUUCUCAUUCCUAAUUUAAUUGUGAUUGUCCCCCCCCCCCCCCCAUGUAAGACUAUAAAUUAACCUCAUGGAUGUUAUUUUUUUUUUUUACUAUAAUGAUUUGAAAACAAGCCAGUUUUUCUGCACUGGGCAGAGCACAGCUACCUCAAUAUGAUAUAAAAAAAGAUAUUUUUUUGCUCAUCUCUAGAUAGUUUCCUAAACGGUCUUGCUUAAGCGUAACAUCUGAGGUGUGCCCCUAUUUACUUGUGCAGAAAACAAGAACAAAAUUUUCCUUCCCUCUAACAUUUAUAAGGAUAUAUUUUGUUUUUUGAUUGAUUUUUUUUUCACUUUCAUUAACUUUAUUUGUGUUUUGCUGUGGAGACAGAGAUGAGUGGGGAUGGUGUAUGUGAAUUGACCAUCUCCAUGGCGUUUGAUUCAAAGGACAGGAAUAUUAAAAUCCUAAGAAAAAAUACUAAUACACAAAGUACUCCAAAUGAACUUGGAUUGCAAAUAAGAACCCAAAAUGUUUUUGUUUUUUUUUACUUCAAGGAAAAAUACACUCAUAAACCCUUUGAAUCAAAGUGUUUUCUGUCUUUAUUUAAUAUGAUUGAGGCCGAUGGCUAUCAACAUUACUCAUAUCCAAUGGUUUUUUUUUGUAUCUGCAUAUUAAACUUGAAUACAAAUCAUUUCAGACACAUGAAUGCUUCAGUGUCUUUGGCACAACAUGACGGGCGGAGAUAUUCAAAGCACAGAGAUCUUGUGUAUAUUUAAAUCUUACAGGCUUUAAUAAUUGGAGGUCGUGGUUUGUGCUGGGCUUACAGCACUGUGUGGCAGUGUAUACAUGUUGGAACAGCCCAUACAGUCAUCUGCACUAAUUUUAGACCACUUAAGCUUAAUUAUUAUUAAGUGUGAAUUUCCACAUGUGACAAAUCUAAAGCAUGUUUUUUGGGUAGAAGCCUGGGUUUGUUUGCACUGUGUGUUUGUGUUCCACUUAACAACUGUGUGCUUUUCUUCCUCAAUGCCUUCCAUUGGCUCCCCUGUCACUAGAGUUGGCUCUCAUAAAAAGCGUCACAAAAUUUAAAGAGUGGGCUCAGAAGCUGGAGUUGUCCAGAGUCCAGCAUGUGUGCUCACUCUUAACUUCACACACACCUCAGACUCCGUGAUGACCAGCAGUGUGUGUACCUUUGCACAGAAAAAAAAAACCCCAACACGUUUUCACAGUAAUAAGACCAAAUACAUAAGGGGUAUACUUAAAAGUGGUUGGGCUGGAAAUCCACUUCCUUUUGCCCCGUGCACCACAACACACACGCACACUCCUAACACACUUAUACCUCUGUGUGAAGAUGCUAUAUCAAUACGACACUAUUCCAGUUUUGUGUGCAGGAAAGUUUUCCAACCCCUUCGACGUUCCUCCUUGCAUGAAGAUCUCUUUUCCAACUUUCAUGAUAGCUUGUCACAUAGAGAACCUUUAAUCUAUAACAACUGUACGUCAGUGUACAAAACAUUCAUUCAUGCAUGCGUUCCAGCUGUAUGUAGGCUUUGCGAUUUGUAUUUAUAGAUUCUAAUGUAUUAUACUCAAAUGACAUAUUAAGAUGGUUUUAAGAUGGAUAUAUCAUAGAUAUGUAAAUCACUGUUUUUAUUGUAACGGUUUGAAUAAUUUGCACAAUAUUAGACAUGGAGAGAUGACUCAUGCUGAACUUGACUGUGCUCUACUUGAGUUUUUUUACUUCAAUUUUUUCCCCCCCUCUGAUAACCACUGUAGGCCGAUCACUGAUCCAUUUACUUUCAGAUUCAGUAGUCCUUUUGCAAUAAGGACAACAGACACUUUGAUUCAUUGGUAAUCCUGCAAUACAACAGUGUUGUCCAAAUGCCUCUGCAUUAUUAUUAUUAUUAUUAUUAUUAUUAUUAUUAUUAUUAUUAUUAUCAUCAUGUAUCUUUAUCAACUGCUGUAAAACUGUGAUCUAAUGUGAGGGGGCCCGUGCAGGCCCCUCAGCGACACCUGAUCGAAGAACAAUAACAUGUAAAAAGACAGAUCAUUAUUGAUGACUAAUAAUGGUUGUACAUGCAUUACUGAGGUUGUGGUUUCAGGUAAAA